Non-coding RNA from Oryzias latipes (Japanese medaka), 304 nucleotides. NCBI's taxonomy places the organism in Eukaryota, Metazoa, Chordata, Actinopteri, Beloniformes, Adrianichthyidae. The record is from RefSeq and is a predicted model, not a curated record.
CAGUCUCCUCCCCCUCCCCCUCCUGCUCUGCUCCUGACUCCACCAGCUGGGACCAAUUCACCUCAUCACCUGCUCUGCUCUUAAGGAGUUCCAGUCCCAUUAGCCUACGCCAGUUCGUUGCCCUUUAUGGAUUCCAGCCUCCAAGUGUCCCCUGUGUGGAUGUCAGUCCGAGUCCUCCUACAGUCCGGUGGAAACCUCAAGCUCUGCCAAGCUGCGCUCUUACCUCCAGCCACGCCACUAGCCGCUGCCCUCCAAGCCACACCAACUUUCCUGGAAGGAAAAAUUAAACUCUUUACUUACCGUU